This 77-nucleotide transfer RNA is filed under the name Armillaria ostoyae. It matches the Rfam family "tRNA". Rfam says of the family: Transfer RNA (tRNA) molecules are approximately 80 nucleotides in length. Their secondary structure includes four short double-helical elements and three loops (D, anti-codon, and T loops). Lineage: Eukaryota; Fungi; Basidiomycota; Agaricomycetes; Agaricales; Physalacriaceae. The record is from RNAcentral.
UCAGAUAUAGUGUAAAGGGUAACAUUGCUGUGCCUUUGUCGCAGUGGCAGUUAGGGGUUCAAUUCCCUCUAUCUGAA